AGCGAACGCUGGCGGCAGGCCUAACACAUGCAAGUCGAACGAACCUUUCGGGGUUAGUGGCGGACGGGUGAGUAACACGUGGGAACGUGCCUUUAGGUUCGGGAUAACUCAGGGAAACUUGUGCUAAUACCGAAUGUGCCCUUCGGGGGAAAGAUUUAUCGCCUUUAGAGCGGCCCGCGUCUGAUUAGCUAGUUGGUUGAGGUAAUGGCUCACCAAGGCGACGAUCAGUAGCUGGUCUGAGAGGAUGAUCAGCCACAUUGGGACUGAGACACGGCCCAAACUCCUACGGGAGGCAGCAGUGGGGAAUCUUGCGCAAUGGGCGAAAGCCUGACGCAGCCAUGCCGCGUGAAUGAUGAAGGUCUUAGGAUUGUAAAAUUCUUUCACCGGGGACGAUAAUGACGGUACCCGGAAAAGAAGCCCCGGCUAACUUCGUG
RNAcentral lists this ribosomal RNA (434 nucleotides) under uncultured bacterium. RNAcentral's name for it is "partial 16S ribosomal RNA". It matches the Rfam family "Bacterial small subunit ribosomal RNA", at positions 29 to 507 of the family's 1533-position model. The record is from RNAcentral.